CAUAGGUUAAUGAGGCGAACCGGGGGAACUGAAACAUCUAAGUACCCCGAGGAAAAGAAAUCAACCGAGAUUCCCCCAGUAGCGGCGAGCGAACGGGGAGCAGCCCAGAGCCUGAAUCAGUGUGUGUGUUAGUGGAAGCGUCUGGAAAGGCGCGCGAUACAGGGUGACAGCCCCGUACACAAAAAUGCACAUACUGUGAGCUCGAUGAGUAGGGCGGGACACGUGGUAUCCUGUCUGAAUAUGGGGGGACCAUCCUCCAAGGCUAAAUACUCCUGACUGACCGAUAGUGAACCAGUACCGUGAGGGAAAGGCGAAAAGAACCCCGGCGAGGGGAGUGAAAAAGAACCUGAAACCGUGU
This 358-nucleotide ribosomal RNA is filed under the name Escherichia coli. RNAcentral's name for it is "partial 23S ribosomal RNA". It matches the Rfam family "Bacterial large subunit ribosomal RNA", at positions 165 to 561 of the family's 2925-position model. The record is from RNAcentral. Lineage: Bacteria; Pseudomonadati; Pseudomonadota; Gammaproteobacteria; Enterobacterales; Enterobacteriaceae. RNAcentral also lists the same sequence under 1 other name.